GGGCCCGUGGUCCAGUGGUUAAGACAUCACCCUCACACGGUGGUUACCGGGGUUCGAAUCCCCGCGGGCCCACCA
RNAcentral lists this transfer RNA (75 nucleotides) under Hadesarchaea archaeon. Its description in RNAcentral is "tRNA-Val". It matches the Rfam family "tRNA". From Rfam's summary of the family: Transfer RNA (tRNA) molecules are approximately 80 nucleotides in length. Their secondary structure includes four short double-helical elements and three loops (D, anti-codon, and T loops). Further hydrogen bonds mediate the characteristic L-shaped molecular structure. tRNAs have two regions of fundamental functional importance: the anti-codon, which is responsible for specific mRNA codon recognition, and the 3' end, to which the tRNAs corresponding amino acid is attached (by aminoacyl-tRNA synthetases). tRNAs cope with the degeneracy of the genetic code in two manners: having more than one tRNA (with a specific anti-codon) for a particular amino acid; and 'wobble' base-pairing, i.e. permitting non-standard base-pairing at the 3rd anti-codon position. The record is from RNAcentral. Lineage: Archaea; Methanobacteriati; Hadarchaeota (SeqCode); Hadarchaeia (SeqCode).